GCCGAGCAUGGUGGCGCAUGCCUGUAAUCCCAGCUACUUGGGAGGCUGAGGCAGGAGAAUCGCUGGAACCCAGGAGGUGGAGGUUGCAGUGAGCCAAGAUCAUGCCACUGCACUCCAGCCUGGAUGACAGAGCGAGACUCUGUCUCAA
This 148-nucleotide non-coding RNA is filed under the name Homo sapiens (human). The record is from Rfam by way of RNAcentral. Lineage: Eukaryota; Metazoa; Chordata; Mammalia; Primates; Hominidae.